RNAcentral lists this unclassified non-coding RNA (275 nucleotides) under Basidiomycota sp. RNAcentral's name for it is "partial contains small subunit ribosomal RNA, internal transcribed spacer 1, and 5.8S ribosomal RNA". The stretch from base 1 to 47 matches the Rfam family "Eukaryotic small subunit ribosomal RNA", at positions 1785 to 1831 of the family's 1831-position model. The record is from RNAcentral. Lineage: Eukaryota; Fungi; Basidiomycota.
AAAGUCGUAACAAGGUUUCCGUAGGUGAACCUGCGGAAGGAUCAUUAACGUAUCUAAGGCGUUCGACCCGUGCCCUGCUCCCGCUGAGAGGCGGUGCAGCGGGCCCUCGUCGGCGUCUAACCUUCACAAACCCACUGUGCACCUUCACGGCAGAGGCUUGCGGGCGAGAGCUCGUUCGCCAAAGCCGUCUCUACAAACACUAGUAAAAAGAAUGUCAAAGCGACUCAGUCGCCCAUUAAACAUAACAACUUUCAACAACGGAUCUCUUGGCUCUC